This 253-nucleotide ribosomal RNA is filed under the name uncultured bacterium. RNAcentral describes it as "partial 16S ribosomal RNA". It matches the Rfam family "Bacterial small subunit ribosomal RNA", at positions 524 to 776 of the family's 1533-position model. The record is from RNAcentral.
UACGUAGGGAGCAAGCGUUGUCCGGAAUCAUUGGGCGUAAAGCGCGCGUAGGUGGCUUCGUAAGUCCGUUGUGAAAGUCAAAGGCUCAACCUUUGAAAGCCGAUGGAUACUGCGGAGCUAGAGUACGGAAGAGGCGAGUGGAAUUCCGGGUGUAGCGGUGGAAUGCGUAGAGAUCCGGAAGAACACCAGUGGCGAAGGCGGCCCGCUGGGCAGUGGCUGACGCUGAAGCGCGACAGCGUGGGGAGCAAACAGG